UACGUAGGGUCCGAGCGUUGUCCGGAAUUAUUGGGCGUAAAGAGCUCGUAGGCGGUUUGUCGCGUCUGCUGUGAAAUCCCGAGGCUCAACCUCGGGCCUGCAGUGGGUACGGGCAGACUGGAGUGCGGUAGGGGAGAAUGGAAUUCCUGGUGUAGCGGUGGAAUGCGCAGAUAUCAGGAGGAACACCGAUGGCGAAGGCAGUUCUCUGGGCCGUAACUGACGCUGAGGAGCGAAAGCGUGGGGAGCGAACAGGAUUAGAAACCCCCGUAGUCC
This 273-nucleotide ribosomal RNA is filed under the name uncultured bacterium. Its description in RNAcentral is "partial 16S ribosomal RNA". It matches the Rfam family "Bacterial small subunit ribosomal RNA", at positions 524 to 796 of the family's 1533-position model. The record is from RNAcentral.